GGGAAUGUAGCUCAGUGGUAGAGUGCUUGCCUAAUAAGUAAGAUGUCCUAGGUUCAAUCCACUGUACCA
Molecule: transfer RNA, 69 nt
Filed under: Ictidomys tridecemlineatus (thirteen-lined ground squirrel)
Lineage: Eukaryota; Metazoa; Chordata; Mammalia; Rodentia; Sciuridae
Description: Spermophilus tridecemlineatus (thirteen-lined ground squirrel) tRNA
Rfam family: tRNA
About the family: Transfer RNA (tRNA) molecules are approximately 80 nucleotides in length. Their secondary structure includes four short double-helical elements and three loops (D, anti-codon, and T loops). Further hydrogen bonds mediate the characteristic L-shaped molecular structure. tRNAs have two regions of fundamental functional importance: the anti-codon, which is responsible for specific mRNA codon recognition, and the 3' end, to which the tRNAs corresponding amino acid is attached (by aminoacyl-tRNA synthetases). tRNAs cope with the degeneracy of the genetic code in two manners: having more than one tRNA (with a specific anti-codon) for a particular amino acid; and 'wobble' base-pairing, i.e. permitting non-standard base-pairing at the 3rd anti-codon position.
Source: Rfam by way of RNAcentral